RNAcentral lists this unclassified non-coding RNA (305 nucleotides) under plant metagenome. RNAcentral's name for it is "partial contains 5.8S ribosomal RNA, internal transcribed spacer 2, and large subunit ribosomal RNA". The stretch from base 1 to 105 matches the Rfam family "5.8S ribosomal RNA", at positions 50 to 154 of the family's 154-position model. The record is from RNAcentral.
GAAAUGCGUUAAGUAGUGUGAAUUGCAGAAUUCAGUGAAUCAUCGAAUCUUUGAACGCACAUUGCGCCCUUUGGUAUUCCUUAGGGCAUGCCUGUUCGAGCGUCAUUUGUAACCUCAAGCUCAGCUUGGUGUUGGGUGUCUGUCCCCGCCCCGCGCGGGGACUCGCCUCAAAAACAUUGGCUGCCGGUACGUUGGCUUCGAGCGCAGCAGAAACGCGAACUCGAGGCCCGACGGAUCGGCGACCAGAAGUCACUUCUUCCACAGCUUGACCUCGGAUCAGGUAGGGAUACCCGCUGAACUUAAGC